GGAAUCCUAAGGUGUGCGAGAGAACUCUCGUUAAGGAACUCGGCAAAAUGACCCCGUAACUUCGGGAGAAGGGGUGCUGACCGCAAGGUCAGCCGCAGUGAAUAGGCCCAAGCGACUGUUUAUCAAAAACACAGGUCUCUGCAAAAUCGAAAGAUGACGUAUAGGGGCUGACGCCUGCCCGGUGCUGGAAGGUUAAGAGGAGAGGUUAGCGCAAGCGAAGCUUUGAAUUGAAGCCCCAGUAAACGGCGGCCGUAACGAUAACGGUCCUAAGGUAGCGAAAUUCCUUGCCGGGUAAGUUCCGACCCGCACGAAAGGCGUAACGAUUUGGGCACUGUCUCAACGAGAGACUCGGUGAAAUUAUAGUACCAGUGAAGAUGCUGGUUACCCGCGACAGGACGGAAAGACCCCAUGGAGCUUUACUGCAGUUUGAUAUUGCGUGUUUGUAUCACAUGUACAGGAUAGGUAGGAGCCGAAGAUACCGGGACGCCAGUCUCGGAGGAGGCAACGGUGGGAUACUACCCUUGUGAUAUGACCACUCUAACCCGCUGCUCUUAGCGAGCAGGGAGACAGUGUCAGACGGGCAGUUUGACUGGGGCGGUCGCCUCCAAAAAUGUAACGGAGGCGCCCAAAGGUUCCCUCAGAAUGGUUGGAAAUCAUUCGUAGAGUGUAAAGGCAGAAGGGAGCUUGACUGCGAGACCUACAAGUCGAGCAGGGACGGAAGUCGGGCUUAGUGAUCCGGUGGUUCCGCAUGGAAGGGCCAUCGCUCAACGGAUAAAAGCUACCCUGGGGAUAACAGGCUUAUCUCCCCCAAGAGUUCACAUCGACGGGGAGGUUUGGCACCUCGAUGUCGGCUCAUCGCAUCCUGGGGCUGUAGUCGGUCCCAAGGGUUGGGCUGUUCGCCCAUUAAAGCGGUACGCGAGCUGGGUUCAGAACGUCGUGAGACAGUUCGGUCCCUAUCCGUCGCGGGCGUUGGAAAUUUGAGAGGAGCUGUCCUUAGUACGAGAGGACCGGGAUGGACACACCGCUGGUGUACCAGUUGUUCUGCCAAGAGCAUCGCUGGGUAGCUAUGUGUGGACGGGAUAAACGCUGAAAGCAUCUAAGCGUGAAGCCCCCCUCAAGAUGAGAUUUCCCAUCACUUUAAGUGAGUAAGACCCCUGAGAGAUGAUCAGGUAGGUAGGUUGGGAGUGGAAGUACAGCGAUGUAUGGAGCGGACCAAUACUAAUCGGUCGAGGACUUAAUC
This 1240-nucleotide ribosomal RNA is filed under the name metagenome. Its description in RNAcentral is "bacterial LSU rRNA". It matches the Rfam family "Bacterial large subunit ribosomal RNA", at positions 1675 to 2925 of the family's 2925-position model. The record is from RNAcentral.